RNAcentral lists this long non-coding RNA (1392 nucleotides) under Homo sapiens (human). RNAcentral's name for it is "HSALNT0192346". Lineage: Eukaryota; Metazoa; Chordata; Mammalia; Primates; Hominidae. The record is from RNAcentral.
UAACGUAACAUUUAAUAUAUAUAAAAUAGUAUUUAGUACAGUGGUAGGGUAUAUGCAUAACAGUAUGAUAGAAUCAUAAAAGACACCUGCCUAAUGCAGGUACUGAAAUAUUUUCAGUAAUAAGAAUCUACCAAUGUGCCCCUCUUUUAUUCUAUUUCCCUAUCUUCCUGUUUGGUAAAAAUAAUAUUAUACUGACAUAGUCUUUGGGUACUUUUUAAAAAAUAUGGGUCUAAAAUUCAUCUAUACUUUUUUGUAUUGCUCUACUUCAUUCAUUUAGUUGUUUUUUGAUAUGUCGUGGUUUCUCUGUGCUUUACUUAAUAGUUUUAUUGUCAAUGGACAUUCCCAAACUCUAGUUUCCUUGGGCACGGUGUUGUAUAAAUGGGGCUAGUCAUAGGGAAAAGGUAACUAAGAUAAAACCUACUGUUUAAUAUCAUCUUGCUGCAGCGUGUUUGAUCAUGGUUAAUAAUCCCAGGAAAUGUGAAUUAUUCUAAUGGUUCUUGGGCUCAUAUGACAUGUAUUUUGAGUACCAUACUCUCUCAGAUUAUAGUAAGUCUAUAAAUAUAAUAGAUGUAAUACAUUAUACAUUAUGGCACUUUCUAUCCACAGCAGGUAAAAAAUCUAGCCCUUGAGAGAUUAGCAACAUUUACCAAAUAAGAUAAAAUAGCAUUUAUUUAACACUAAGUGUACAGGAUGUUAAAGUUACUCUUGCUAUAGAUAAAUGAUGAAAAACUCUUUAUGGAUACAGAAUACAUGUUAAUAUUUAAACAAUUGAGGAAGCUGUUUUCAGCUUGUACUCCAAGAAGGAAAAGUAGUUUUUUUCCACAAAAACAGCUUGAAAAUAUCCCUAGUCGUUGCGAAACUGCCUACAAAUACAAUGGAAAGGAAAAUAUAGACCCUUUACAAGGAAGCCCAAGCUUAGUUUAAAAAGAGAGACAGUAAGCCAUCAGCAAAUUUAGCCAUUUUUGUUAAUCAGCAAAUCAGCAAAUCAGCAAAACUGAGGCCUGAUAUUUUGCAGAGCCUGCUGGAGGAAGUCAACAACUCCCACAGAAAUCAACUAAUAAAAAUUCAAAAACAAAGACUGCAUGAGAACAUUCCUGGAGUAUGGAUCAGCAGACAGGAGAUGUUUGAGAACAUACUAAUGUGGGAUUAGGAGCACUGGCACUGAAACAGGUUUCCAAGGGAAACUUGUAGAUCUCCUUUCCUGGAACCUUUUGAUCGACGCCUUACCAUCUGGCAUAGCUAAAAUCUGUCCUGCCUGAAGCAGAACUGAUGAUCUAAUGUCUAGAGGUCGCUUCCAAGCCUAUGACAGAGAACUAAAUUCAAGACAAUACAAAGAACAAAGCAUGGUGUCAAAUAAAUUGUUCAUAUUCUUCUUAAGUUCUCAAUUCCCUG